RNAcentral lists this long non-coding RNA (534 nucleotides) under Homo sapiens (human). Its description in RNAcentral is "HSALNT0124408". The record is from RNAcentral. Lineage: Eukaryota; Metazoa; Chordata; Mammalia; Primates; Hominidae.
GGCAGGUGCCUUUAAUCCUAGGUACACAGGAGGCUGAGGCAUGAGAAAUGCUUGAACCCAGGAGACAGAGGUUGCAGUGAGCCCAGAUUGCGCCACUGCUCUCCAGCCUGGGCGACAGAGAGAGACUCUGGCUCAAAAACAAACAAACAAACAAACAAACAUGAAAAAAACUUGGCUGGUUUUGUAGACUGGUUCUAUGCUAGAAAAUACUUACAUUUCUGUCCAAAUUUUUGCUUGGAAAAGAUGGUACUACUGUCAAACUAUCAGCUAUCUCAGAGUAUCCAAAUGUCUGCUAACGUUAGCCAAGCUAAUUUCUUCACCACCUAUGAUGACAUUUUCCUGUACACAUUCUAAUUAUUUUGACGUUUGAUGUAGCUGAAAUUCUCUAGUCUGGGAAAGAGUGAACUUAACUAACCUUACAUUUGUUUGUUUGUCUGUUUUUGAGACAGAGUCUCACUCUGUUGCCAGGCUGGAGUGCGGUGGCAGGAUCUUGGCUUACUGCAACUUCCUCCUCCCGGAUUCAAGCAAUUCUCC